AUUGAACGCUGGCGGAAUGCUUUACACAUGCAAGUCGAACGGCAGCACGGGGGCAGCCCUGGUGGCGAGUGGCGAACGGGUGAGUAAUACAUCGGAACGUGCCCGGUCGUGGGGGAUAACGUAGCGAAAGUUACGCUAAUACCGCAUACGAUCUGAGGAUGAAAGCGGGGGACCUUCGGGCCUCGCGCGAUCGGAGCGGCCGAUGUCAGAUUAGGUAGUUUGUGGGGUAAAGGCCUACCAAGCCGACGAUCUGUAGCUGGUCUGAGAGGACGACCAGCCACACUGGGACUGAGACACGGCCCAGACUCCUACGGGAGGCAGCAGUGGGGAAUUUUGGACAAUGGGCGCAAGCCUGAUCCAGCCAUUCCGCGUGCAGGACGAAGGCCUUCGGGUUGUAAACUGCUUUUGUACGGAACGAAAAGGCUCUGGCUAAUACCUGGGGCUCAUGACGGUACCGUAAGAAUAAGCACCGGCUAACUACGUG
RNAcentral lists this ribosomal RNA (484 nucleotides) under uncultured bacterium. Its description in RNAcentral is "partial 16S ribosomal RNA". It matches the Rfam family "Bacterial small subunit ribosomal RNA", at positions 30 to 507 of the family's 1533-position model. The record is from RNAcentral.